AACAAAGUGUCAGAGGAUCCAUUUAAUUGGGAAAUUUAUUGGUCAGCUACAGCAGCAUAGGAGACGACGACAUACUGUCUGGCCCUCUCUUGUUGGCUUUCUUUGGCUCGCAUGUUUUGCGGUUUGCUGGAAAUGCUUUCACACACAGGGGAAAGUGGUCCACUAAAAAAUAAAAAGAAGAAACAACGAUACAAACUAGAGACAAAUUCGUGUAAAAGAAGUGGAUUUGUUUUGAAUGACAACAACGUGUGUGGCUAACAUGUUGGUAUUUCUAUUCAAUCUCAUAUUUGUAUUACGUAUUAUAUAUAGUAUUGUAGUGGAAUAUUUUGUGAGCUCGUUCCGAUUAUGAGACUUUCCCGCUAAUUAUAUUUGUACAGGCCACACGCUAUGGACAUUCAGAGACAUUGUUCAUUGCUCAACAUUUUUUCAUUUUCCAGCUACUUAUCAAUCGUAUUUUCCAAGAGUCUCGUCUAAUCCUAGGCGGAAAAGUGGUCCUCGCUGCCAAACGACUAAUGAGCAUUUCUUUCCAUUAUCUCAUCAUGCAAAUGUACGCAAUUGCGAAGCGUAUCCUAACGCCGGGAAUUGGACUUGCACAACUCUGCGUAACGUGAAAGAUCCGUCACAGAUGGCACAAGGUGAAGUCCUAAUCUGUUUUUGGUCAGAUAAAAACCACAGAUGCAGAUACAUAAACACUCACACACACACACACACACACACACUAUUGCAGUUGCAGUUUCCGUUGCGAAAUGAGUUUGUCAGCUAUGGGAUGACAGACCUUCGUAAUAUCCCCUUAAUUAAAAAGACGUUCAUCAUCGAUUUGUUUAUUAUGCAAUUGCAAUUUCAAUUGCAUUCAUAUCAAACCAGAUAUCGACCAAAACAAACAUCCAGGCAGCGCCCAACUGUGCCAAAAGGUAAACCAGUAGGUGGUGCCGGAAGUGCCCGAGAAUCCAUCCACAAAACAAACCUAGGUGAGGUAUCUGUUGUGCAGUUUCCCAUCAACAGGAGACAACAAACUAAUCAAAACUAAUGAUGACAUAAUUGGCUCGGAAGCAGGACCCUAUGUGUGGGUCCUCUGUGUAAUCGAAUAGGAAUUGAUAUAGGAAGAAAACUGAGGAAGUGGCUGACGCAGUGCGAAAACAAAGCCACAUACAAAUUGGGUCUACCAAGGAAACAAACAUCAGCCAUCAGUCAGGGGUCCUCAAAAAAAAGAAGGAAGAAGACGGAAAGAACAUCUCGCACAAGUUACAAGCAAAUAAAAAGAAAACGAGAAAAAAGUGAAAAAAGAUAA
Long non-coding RNA from Drosophila albomicans, 1288 nucleotides. RefSeq lists it as uncharacterized. NCBI's taxonomy places the organism in Eukaryota, Metazoa, Arthropoda, Insecta, Diptera, Drosophilidae. The record is from RefSeq and is a predicted model, not a curated record. The transcript is spliced from 2 exons.